GACGAACGCUGGCGGCGUGCUUCAUACAUGCAAGUCGAACGCGAAUCGGUAGCUUGCUACCGAGGAAAGUGGCGGACGGGUGAGUAAUGUGUAGAGAAUCUGCCCUAGAGCGGGGGACAACAGCUGGAAACGGCUGCUAAUACCCCAUAUGAGCGUAUCUGAAAUGGUAUUCUUGAAAACUCCGGUGCUCUAGGAUGAGUCUGCAUCUGAUUAGCUGGUUGGUGGGGUAACGGCCCACCAAGGCGACGAUCAGUAGCCGGCCUGAGAGGGUGAACGGCCACAUUGGGACUGAGACACGGCCCAG
This 304-nucleotide ribosomal RNA is filed under the name uncultured bacterium. RNAcentral describes it as "bacterial SSU rRNA". It matches the Rfam family "Bacterial small subunit ribosomal RNA", at positions 28 to 334 of the family's 1533-position model. The record is from RNAcentral.